This 4604-nucleotide long non-coding RNA is filed under the name Spirodela polyrhiza (greater duckweed). Its description in RNAcentral is "long non-coding RNA (SPOL_LNC000575)". Lineage: Eukaryota; Viridiplantae; Streptophyta; Magnoliopsida; Alismatales; Araceae. The record is from RNAcentral.
UCGAUAGCAAGCUGGCCUGCUUUAAAAGCUCCUUUAUUUCCUGUAUCAAUUGAUUCUCCUCUGCGGUUCUUGAUUCUCUCUGACAAACAUGUUCAAUUCAAGAGCAAUAAAGUGAGAUUACAAACAUGAUACAUUCAAUGAAACUGAAAUUGGCAAGAGAGUGCUAGAUAUACAUAAUAUCAAGAAAUCAAGAAAUUAUAAUUUGAAACAACAAGAAGAACGAAAGCAAACCCAAAAAAAAUAAAAUCUAGGAUUGCCGUCUAAUCUAUCUAACAGAGUUAAUUUCACAUAUAUCAUUCUCAGAAAACCGGUUGCUUACUAUAAUAUUUCAUCAAUUUACAAUCCUAAAUGAUGAAUGAAUGCCAUGGAUUGAUGAUAUUAUUGAUCUUAUGGCAUCACCUCAAAACUACCUUCAACGUGGCGUGACAUCACCUGCUAUCCUAAUAUCGUUCUAAUGUUAGAUGAAGCCAGCACGGAUUGAAGCCAUUGUCCCAUCAGCAUCAUCAUAAAGUUUCCAUUUAACGAUCUUAAAAACAACUUUGAUUAAGGCAAAAAUGCUUGUUAAAGCUCGAUAGCAUGUCUCAGUUAAAAUGUAGGCUUCACCAGAUGACGCAAGUGCAGAAAGUAAAUGGUGAAUGAGGUCUACAUUCAAAUGGCCUAUGGAGGUACUGUGCAUAAAUUCGAAAGUAAUCACACAAUACACGAACUGUAAUUUGCACCCAUGGAUGAGCUACUGAAGUCUUGAACCUAAUAGCCUAUAAGCGUAUGACCUACUUUUUUGACAACUGUUUUUUCCUCUUACAUCCAUCCAGUCGUGUUUAAUGAAUUGGUGUUUUGGCCCUUUGUAACCCCACGAGUAUUGAGAAAAGAACCCUACCUUUGGUGGCAUGCGGCUGCAAGAGAUUACCCUCUUCACAUCAGCACAUCACAAAGGGCUUCUGUCAAUCUCUCAUUUUUUUUCCUUCUCUCUCUUCUUCUACUCAUCCUCUUUCUCUCUCCCCCUUAUGAAUGUGAGCAAUAAACGAGAUGGAGGCAGGAAAUACAGAUAUGCAAAGAGAAGAAGCAUAACUAGGACAGCCUACAUCCAUGUACUCCAUCCCACAAUCUAGAAAUAGACAAAAUUUAGGAACCUUGAUGAUCCUCUUUUUUCCACCCAUUGUACCACCCCUUGCUCGGAUUAUUUGAAUGUCUUUAUUACACAGGAUUUCCCACUAAUCAUUUUAUGUGGAUGAUGAGGAAUGCCUAGUUACAUGUUAGCAACACCUAAUAAACCGUCUUUAGCUCAAAGGACAUCAACUGGACUGUACCCAGAACCUCCCCCUUCCCAACAAGUAAAACAGAGGUGCAUAGUCCUGACUUGUAACUACGGAUGCAAGUCACCUUAAUAGAUUAACUAACUGACCUUCUGCACACAGCGACAUCAAAUGGAUUGUCUCCUAAGACCACAUUUAUCAAAUGGCUACGACUGAGAAGCCAAACAUUGGUCUUGACAACACCUUUGUAAUCCUGAUAUUUUGAAAGUGGACUACUCUAAAAUGACACCUUCCACUUCAUGCAGCAAACCUCUCAUGCCUCAUGUGUCGCCGAACUCUUCUUUAGCGUUACACAUGCCAAUUGACUCAGAUAGAGAUGCAAAAUUUACCAGCUUCUUCAGGUAACUCAAUGGAAAACCUUUGGUACUUAAGUAAAGCUAUCUGGCUUUCCACCCUUAAAUGAUGAUCUAACAGAAGCGGUCCAUAGGAGACUAUAGCCAAGUGGGACCUGAUUUUACCAACUGCUAUAGACGGCUGAAUUGCGUAUGACAGGUUCACCAAUCAAAUGAUUGGUAAAAACACCUUUCAGGUUGUUCCUGGUACAUCGCCUAGGCUUCCCCUUAAUAUCAUUCCGUUUCGCUUGGAUCCUCAUCCUUCCAAGCUUGCUCAUUCUUUUUCAGAAAAAGUUCAUUAUAUUGCUGACGAAAUUCAUCAUAUGAUCAUCGUAUAUGAACAAAACAAACAAAGGCGCCAUAUCCUCACCCAUGAAACAGGGAUUCAGAGAAAGUGACUCUGUGACGGCAACGCAUCAUUAGCUGGAGAAGCUGCAUCCACAAACUACUGGUUCCUUUCAUGCCAUCAAUAAUUAAGGAUCAAAUGGCUACCCAUUAUGUUUGUCGUCAGACACAAAGAAUACUCUUAUUUUCAAUGUAGAUGAUUUAUUUCAUUAUUUUCUUUGAGCUUUCUCCCCUGUCUUCUGAGAUCCCUGUAGGUCAGGCUGUGAUGGCCUCUUCUACCAUGGGCACCUUUACAUAGAUCUUUUGAAUUCUGGCCUAAGGACAAGACAUUCUCUAAAAGGAAAUUUGCCAUCUCUCAUCAAGUGAAAAGAACAUCCGCCUCAUGAUGCUUCAUGGCAGAUCAAGGAUAAACUUCUUCAGCGUCAAGUUCCUGAAACGACACCAGGAAUAUCAGUAGUCAGGGUUUCUGCCUAGGAGAGGAAUGAUGGGAACUAUGAUCAUCUCAUCCUUCUUCCCGUCCUUCUCUUUCUAUUUCCUUGCUUCUGCUAGCCUAUUGCCACCAUUUGAGCUAUAUAUAUUGCAAAAAUUCCAUUUUUUUUCUAAAAAUGAAUUACCAUCUUCUCUAAUAUCACACUGCAAAGAACCAUAUAUAUAAGAUCUAUCUAGAUUUUUCUGAAGUCUCUUUUUUUCUAGUUCUCGUCAAUCCUCGUUAUAGAGUUUUUAUCUCAUUAUCACCACGUAUCCUAGCAAAUGCAUACAUCUCAUCUGUCACAGAUUGAAGUAGCCCUUCCAAUCAGACUUUUUUGGCUUGUAUCUUCAUCCCCUCGUCCAUCCUUACCAAACUGAUUAAAAUCGUCUCUACCACAAACCUGGCCUGUGAUCCCACACAAUGGGAGUAACUUGCCCUACACACCACUUGAAUGACGUGUAGAAAAUAUUGCCGUCUGAUUUCAGCAUAAUUAUGCACCUAUCUACAGAUACAGAACAUUGAAUUAGAAAAUAAGAAUAAGAUGCGGUUUAACAAAUCAUACAUCCAUGGAUCCCCAAAUGUGUUCACUAUUCUUAAAGAACAAUACAAAAAAAAAACCCCUAAUAACAUUGUUGUUUCCCUCCUUCCUCUCACUGUCUAACCCAAUAACCUAAUAGCUUGGAAUAACAUGAAUACCUUGGUUACACAAGUUUCCUAGUCAUCACUGUUUACUUGAACUCAAAAAGACAUCUAUUGGGUUCCUCCUAAACCCCCUUGCAACCCUUAAAAUUGAGUUCACAGUCAUGAUUUUAACAACUGGCUAAAGUCAACUAAAGCAGCCACUGUCAGCGACUGUCAAAAUCACACACACCUUUUACCAUUUUCAGUUUUUUUCGGAAAAAAUGGAUAUCAAUUUCAGACCCCUCUCUUUUGUGAAGCAACUGCAUAUCAACCGAGCUUCAACAAACAAGCCACAUAACCAAACACAAGGCUCCCCAUUUUGACGCGGAUGUAUACUAGGCUUGGGGUCUCAAGAUAUGAGCCAAAGCCCAUGACUUCCUUGGUCAGCAGUCUUUCUUACUCUUUUCCUCCGAUUUGAAUGUGUAAAGGUUUUUGGAUAGUAAAGUACCCUUUCAUGGAGCCUUAUACAAUACAACGGUUAUACAUAUAUACGGGAUCAAUUUGGAAAACCAAUAGAGAAUAUGAACGAACAAACAGUAUUUAUUGGAAGCAUUCCUCUGAUGAAUUCCCUAGGAACCUUUAUAGUAAAUGGAAUUUACAGAAUAUAUAUUUCAAAAAAUAUACCCACGAAUAGUAUGCUAACCGCCAUAAGAAAUUUAGCACCCGACCUAACAUUCCAAAAAUCAUAUGCUUCCGCAUCUUGAGCUUCCCAAUUGGCGUGCGUCAAGCCACAGAGAAAAAUUCAUCUUUGCAACGUUAUUUUUCUAAUUUGUCAAAUAUAACUUCUGCGCAUGCUAAUUGCUACUCUUUCAUCUGCAAAAAGCAGAACACUCAGAAUAAUAAAAUGUUACCCACAACGGGAAUGGUACACUUCCAACCCUUUCGAAUUUCUCACCGGAAAUUUGUUCGUUGUCGGGUGUUUGCCACAAAUUAGGCCAUUCAAUGCUCUGGAUGACAUAUGCUUUCUAAUUCUUAAUGUCGUCAUUAUUUUUUGAUCAAGAUUAUCAAACUACAUGACCAAACAUAGAGACCAACAUACAGAAAAAAAACAGCCUGCGAGAAAAAAUCUAUGCCUUUAGAUUUGCAAUCUCGACCCUAAUCAACAGCAUAUCUAAAUGAAGUACAUUCAACCCUAGCAGGGAAUCAGAGUCUUCAUGAAAAUAGCUCUCAAAUCAAGGAACACAGAAGAUACAUAGAGAAACCCUAAAUUUCAUAAUCCCAAAAAUAUGAAGAACCCACCGGUGAUACGGAUGGGCGAGGAGAUGGGGGCAACCUUUUUGAGACGGCCGAUGCGUCGAUCAACGAGCUGAAGGAUCCCGACGAGGAGAAAUAUGGCCGCUGGCCAGGGGAAGAGAACUCGACCAUCCUCUAGGGCUCCGUCACCCAUCUCCUGAGCAAAACGAAUAGACCGAGGAAUCCUUCGCCUUUCCAACUCCCUCCACGGGGCUUCCUUUUUCCGCUCGG